Non-coding RNA from Acyrthosiphon pisum (pea aphid), 70 nucleotides. The record is from Rfam. Lineage: Eukaryota; Metazoa; Arthropoda; Insecta; Hemiptera; Aphididae.
CCGUGUUCUGUGACUGACUCGGAUGGCGCCGGACUGGUGGGCGCCCGCCGGUCUGUCACAGAACAAGAGA